GACGAACGCUGGCGGCGUGCUUAACACAUGCAAGUCGAACGGAAAGGCCCUGCUUUUGUGGGGUGCUCGAGUGGCGAACGGGUGAGUAACACGUGAGUAACCUGCCCUUGACUUUGGGAUAACUUCAGGAAACUGGGGCUAAUACCGGAUAGGAGCUCCUGCUGCAUGGUGGGGGUUGGAAAGUUUCGGCGGUUGGGGAUGGACUCGCGGCCUAUCAGCUUGUUGGUGGGGUAGUGGCUUACCAAGGCUUUGACGGGUAGCCGGCCUGAGAGGGUGACCGGCCACAUUGGGACUGAGGUACGGCCCAGACUCCUACGGGGGGCAGCAGUGGGGAAUAUUGCACCAUGGGCGGAAGCCUGAUGCAGCAACGCCGCGUGCGGGAUGACGGCCUUCGGGUUGUAAACCGCUUUCGCCUGUGACGAAGCGUGAGUGACGGUAAUUGGUAAAGGAGCAACGGGUAACUACGUG
RNAcentral lists this ribosomal RNA (468 nucleotides) under uncultured bacterium. RNAcentral describes it as "partial 16S ribosomal RNA". It matches the Rfam family "Bacterial small subunit ribosomal RNA", at positions 28 to 507 of the family's 1533-position model. The record is from RNAcentral.